This 2592-nucleotide long non-coding RNA is filed under the name Coffea arabica (coffee). Its description in RNAcentral is "long non-coding RNA (CARA_LNC000299)". The record is from RNAcentral. Lineage: Eukaryota; Viridiplantae; Streptophyta; Magnoliopsida; Gentianales; Rubiaceae.
UUUUUUUUUUUUUUUUUUGGUAAGUAAGAAUUUGUUAAUACCAAAGAACAAACAAGAUAGGCAUAACCACAAAAGAAAUAAAGAAACUUUAUUAAUAAAGUUGAAAAUUUAAUUAUUGUCUAAAACAAAUGAAGAAAGAUGGCAUAACCACAAAACUGAAAAAACAAACAAAAAUGUGACACUCUUACUGUGCCUUAGCUUUUCAGAAAAUGACCAUUAUAGCGAAAUUUUCUACAGAUAAAUGUAUUACACCGCCACAUGAAAGCGAAAACAGCCAAGGCUUUCAAUUGCCAAAAGAAGAGAUGAAAGAAUAUCCAAAGGGCUCUUCUUCCUCGGGUGCAUAUGAUAUUAUACUCUGCCUUUUUCCCUCCCCAUCUAAUGCUUGAGUUUGGACUCUCUUUAGUUCCUCUAAACGCCAAAAAACUAGAAGAGUGUUAUUAUAGUGAGUAGUUAAAGUAGAAUUUCCCCCUUUUUUUGAUUGUGUUUUUAGGUGGUUUAGUCUAGUCAAAUAACGAUGUGUAUGUUUCAAGGUUAGUUAACAAUGCUUGCAGCACUGAAGCUCAGAUUCUGGAAACUUGCAUAUUUUCCACCUCCAUGUCUUAGUUUAUAUAUUUAAGGACUCCAUGUCCUCCAAAUUUCAAUCUGAAAAUUGGGUGCCGUACCAUUUUUCUUUUUCUUGUUUUGUGUAGCUUUUCUGGUAGCACAUCCAUAGGAGAUAAAAAAUCUUGUUGAUUUUCUGAUCAAAUAUUGCAUGGGUUGCUCCUACACCCAUUCUUUAGCCACGUAUUCCAUCUUUUAGAUGACAAAGCAAGAAGAACUUUCAAUAAUGUCUUUCUGUAUGGUUAGAGGCUUAAGAUUUAAUCUCUUGGAGCUUCCAAUGUGCUCAGUUUUCACAAACACAAAAUCAAGGAAGCUCAAGUCAUGCAAAACUAAGUAGAGCAUUCUGCUCCCUUGAAGGAAAAGAAAAACCAAAUGUAACUUAUUUAUGCCUUGGCCUCAUUAGGAACUCACUUUUGGCCUUUAAAAGCAAAAGGGAUGCUCAAUUACCACCCUGUUAGGUUGCAAAAUUUUGAGGUUUAAGGUUUUAUAAAUCAUAACUCAUUAUACUUUGGUAAAUCAUGAUAUGCAGGAGCAUAUUCUUUAGGGCAAGUUGAUCAGGUAUGCUUUAAAAAGCGCUUUUCUACUGCAUAUGGUCAAAUGGUAGUUUCUUAAGAAGAGGAGGAAAUUUUAGGGGUUGUCCAUCUGGCGAGUGUCAAGCUCAUCAGGGUAAAUGUGAGGCGACAUCUGCCUUGGACAAGGACAGUAAUUCCGUCUCAAUAUUUUGACAAGAAGUUGCAACAAAGAAUGGAAUCAAUGGAUUGAAGAAUUCGAGAUCUGCCUCCGACAAGGACUGUACUUUAGCCUGUUAGUAUUUUGACAAGAAGUUGCAACAUGGAAUCAACGGGUUAUGGGGGUGUCUCGAAACAAUGGAAAUUCUUUCACUCUGCCGUUUGGAGGUCAUAACCUUCCAAAGUGCGACAAACAUAUACUAGUAGCAUAACUCUCCGAGUAAAAUGCAUUUUGUUCCUAUCACUUUUAACCAAAUUUAUAGGAAUUUACGCAGCUAGGACGAACACAUUCCAUUCGUUCAUUAAAGUUCCAUAUAUGAGUUACGAGGAUUAACACACACAGACACAGCGCCCACCCACUGCCGCAUACAGAAUACUGGGCCCGAGAAUAGAAUGAUACAAGUAGCACAUCUACCCAAAGGCGGAGGAGUAAAAAUGUCAAUGAAACUGAUCAAAAGAUGAUGAUUAAAAAUCACUAUCUAUAGAACAGAAUAUAUUCAACAAUCAAAUGUCUGUCUCCCCGUCUUUUCAACCCAGCAAUUGGGACGCAAAUUUAACACAAGGGGGGCAACAGGAGAAGCAGACAAAUCCAAUUUCAGCAACAAACAUCACUGGAGAAACUCGCAAGCAACCAUUAAGGGCAGCUUUUAUGUAUGUCACAUAAUCACAGCCCACAGCCUCACACCAUCAUGACCAAAGAAGAAAAUGCACAAUCCCAAAAAAGAAUAAAAAGAUCACUAGUCAUUAACACAAAGGGAACAAUAGGAGAAGAAGACAAUCCAUUUCAGCAACAGCCAUCACUCAAAGGAGGAGAAACUUGCGAAUAACUAUUAAGGGCUGUAAGAGCCUUCCUCCACUGCCAGGUUCAGGGUCCAAUUCCUGUGCUUGAUAGUUGGGGUGGCAAGGGGUGGAGGGGGGGGGGGAAUUAAAAGCUGCUUUCAUGUUCACAGAAAACAGCCCAAAAACCAUCAUGACAAUAAGGAAAACACAGAAUUCCUAAAAGGAAAGAGUUUCAGAAGUCAUCAACAUUGACAAUAUGCGUUCCAUUAAAACACCAGCACCACAUAAGAUCAAGUCAUAGCAGAAAGAUUAUUAUGGGGCAAUCUUCAUGCAAAGCCAUCUUCAUGCAAAGCCCAUUAAACAAACAUUCUAAAUCCAAGGUCACCAUAGACCCAGAAAUAAAGAUCCAAGUGACAAGUUAAACAACAAAUUUCCAGCAAAAAUGUUUUCAUCGAAGACUUGGUUGGUACUGCAACUUCAAGGU